RNAcentral lists this long non-coding RNA (3157 nucleotides) under Volvox carteri. RNAcentral's name for it is "long non-coding RNA (VCAR_LNC000329)". Lineage: Eukaryota; Viridiplantae; Chlorophyta; Chlorophyceae; Chlamydomonadales; Volvocaceae. The record is from RNAcentral.
GUCUCGCCACCUGGCCCCGGUUUCUAGGUGUCGCGGAGCUAAUGACAGGCUACUACAGCCCCGCGGAGCAGGAGCCGGAUGCUGACCUUGGGAAGAGCCUGCGGGAGGGUUUUAGGUGAGUGCGUAGGGGGCUUUAGGAAGGAAAUGGGCCAUGGCGGGUAGUUGGGGGCGCGACGUAAGGGUUUGAGCUUGGCAACAGUCGGACACGAGAGAUUAUGCGUAUGGAUCGAAAGGUUCCGCCUAGUCCUCUUCUGGGUGAUGGCCGAAAUGCUGUCCUUAAAGGGAAGAGUGCACAAGGCGAAAGGAACAUCUGACGCGGACCGAAAUGGAGCAUUAAGGGAUUCUAGGGGAACACGUGUGUGCUAUACCUUAAGAGCUGCGCUCCGUGUGCAGCCGCCGCCCGUUAGUGAAUACAGGGACCACCAGCGGGCCGUCCACCAAUGCCAGAAAUGAGCGUUUUCCCCUUGUACUUACCUUUCUCCCGCUUUGGUGCUUCGUAAUUCGUCGCCAUCUUCGCAUUUACUCAUUUGGUAACCUUCCCGGCUUUCCUUGGAUUUGCCCUUCCUUACGCAUCCCCUUGUUCCCGUUCCCCUACCCGGUACACCGCCUCAGGAACCAGAGCAAGACCGGUGAUGAAGCCCGCAGCUUCGGCAUUCCCACCAUCCGCACUGACCUGCGACUGCCCCGGCUGCGAUCCGUAGCGGACCCACAAAAUUACGGCAAUGAGUCGGAUGCGGGGCAGGUGCUGCGGCCCCCGCUCGCCGCCGACCUGGGCAUCUCGGAUGAGCAGUUCGUGGGCCUAAGGUAAGGCAAGAGUUGCGCGGCAGGGCCGUAGUUGUGCUUGGAAGGAGGGAAGCAAAAGGCCAAUAUCUGGAGGAGGCUGGAAGACUGCCAGAAGGCGAGACUGGGGAACGUUCGAGGGAAGUCUGGCAUGGGAGUGCGGAAGGAGGGAGUCAAGCUGCAAUGUCCCCGCGCCCGUAACCCCGGGUGCCUCCUUGCAACCGCACAUGCAACCGCACAGGCCCAAGGAGGACAUACGGCAGUUGGUCCGGGAGGCGGGUCUCACGUUGACGGACGACGAAUUUGAUGCUGCCUGGGCACUCGCUGCCGAUGCGGACAGCGCGGGCGCCGCGGCCGCCACCGGUAUAACAGACACGACGGCGCAGCCCCGAGCUUGCAUCGACACAUUUUUCCGGGCACGACACCAUUUGCUCGCUCAGACGCUGCGAAUCCCGCCGCCCUUCUAGAAAGCUGCCGAACAACUGGAGACCCCAGCCGCGCAUGAAGGCGCGCGUGGCAGUCGGACAGGCAGGAGGGUGUAUAUUGCCAGCAUAUGCCAGCACGAAAAGAACAUUGCUGUCGCUGCUGUCCUGCUACUAAUGGCGCUGGCAUAACUCAUGAAGAACUUUGUCCUGCCGCGGACGGGUCUUAACACUGCAAUGCAGCUUGCCAGCAGCAGCAGCAAAGAGUUGCUACGGUGGCUGCAGGAUGCGCCUGGCCCUGAGCAGUAGCUCAAGCCCUCGCGAGGUGCAUGCGUUGCAAGAGGUGUUCGGGGUCUACGACCAGGACGACUGAGCGCCAUGGGUGUUGGGGUAAGGAUUAUGCCUGCCAGCAUGGAAGGCGAGGUGGCCUAGUUGCUCUUUUUACACCUCUCAUCCUUACACCUCUCCAUCAUGACAAUUACAUGGGAGGCAGAGGCCGAGGCGGAAUCCUAGAAGGCGUGAACAGAAUGGGCCAGGAUUUUCAGGGAGCGAUCCCAAUGGCGGAAGAUGUGUAUGGUUGGGAGGUUGGGCUGAUUUGUACUCAUUAUGAGUUUGAUUGUGGGAUGCCCCGAGGUUAGUGCGCGCCUUCUGGCUGUUGGGCAAGCGUAACUUACACGGUGCCUAUUUACACUAUCCUACGUGAAUGUACAUGCGUCGAUUUGGGUACCGUACAGUGGAAAUGACACGGAUGUCUAGAGGAACUCCCUUAUUCCUAUACCGUCAGGACGACCGCUGACUGGCGGCGUGUAACUACGCGGGUUGCACGCGACAAAUACAGGCGCCUGUCGCCUGUGAGAUCUGCGUACGAGUUGCGCUGCUGGGUAAAGCAUAGGGCAGGCUACCGUGCCAUGGACGUCGGGGCCCCAGCGAAGGCGCUGGGUGGUCAGAAGGAGUCAAGGGAACGAGCCUUUAGAUAGCUUCCGCCCUUCUGACAUUGUUCAUGGGAAAGAGGGAGGUCGUUUAGCUAGUACUGCAGUUAACGCGUGAUGUGGUGGUGGUGCCGGCCAUGUAGCUGACAGGGUGACGGGCUCUGUAGCGGCUUUCCAUGGCGUGGGCCUGAACUGGUGUGCAUGCGCUGCGCGCUGCAAUGGGAGCCAUCGAUGGGUCCUUAUGACUGAGCGAAAUAGUGACGUGAAUUAAAAAGCCAAGGGCAUGCAGUUAAAUGAUUACUAGACGUAUACGCAGGUGCGGAGGAAAAUCACAUGUCUAGAUAUAUGUGUAUAAAUGGUGGCGGACAGGUGCGCUGCACCCAGAUUUGCAGUAACCCAGGUGUCCAUGUCGCAUAGGAAGCUGUCUGGUUCAAAACCCUCGCACACCUUCGGUUUGUAAAUGUCGCUUUGUUUGCCGCGCGCCCUAACUGCCUUACAACAAAGCCACGACUGUGUGUUCUUCGGCAACCCUUCGUUGGUUCGUUAACGUAUGAAGACCUGGAUAGACGAAAGCAUGUGUAAGGCAUACUGCACGGUAUAAUUCGGGAGGCACAAAACUUAACCCGCUCCCAAAGCUCGCCGCGUUCGAGGAGGGAGAGUAGGCCCGUUGCCCUCGUCGUGGCUGAGGAAGGUUCAUUCCAGAGCUAUGUUGUAUUAUCUUGCCUAAGAUUGGCUUGCUAGUUCACACCGCGGUAUUUUUUACGCGAACGUGUGCUAAGAAAGGACAGCUGGUUUGUUAUGGGCGUGCACGAAUGGGUAUGCUUGGUACACUCUGCGACGCCCUGUAGCCAAGACUUAGCCCAAGUUCUGAACGGUAUAUCGCAGCUUUUACAAGGAAAACGGAUCGACUUGUCGGCAUGCUCCCAGAAACCCAACUGUCAUUGAAGCCGUUGUCCUGCCUCUCAAGCUCAAGCCUAUACCCAAGGCACGGUUUUUAACAUAUUACAUACUAUGAAUCAACUUUAU